GACGGGGGGGGCAAGCGAUGUUCGGAAUUACUGGGCGUAAAGGGCGCGUAGGCGGGUGGACAAGUCUCUCGUGAAAGCCCACGGCUCAACCGUGGAAUUGCGGGAGAUACUGUCUGUCUUGAGUCCGGGAGAGGAGGGUGGAAUUCCCAGUGUAGCAGUGAAAUGCGUAGAUAUUGGGAGGAACACCGGUGGCGAAGGCGGCUCUCUGGACCGGUACUGACGCUGAGGCGAGAAAGCUAGGGGAGCAAACGGG
Molecule: ribosomal RNA, 253 nt
Filed under: uncultured bacterium
Lineage: Bacteria
Description: partial 16S ribosomal RNA
Rfam family: Bacterial small subunit ribosomal RNA
Source: RNAcentral